Long non-coding RNA from Carcharodon carcharias (great white shark), 1110 nucleotides. RefSeq lists it as uncharacterized. Lineage: Eukaryota; Metazoa; Chordata; Chondrichthyes; Lamniformes; Lamnidae. The record is from RefSeq and is a predicted model, not a curated record. The transcript has 2 exons.
CAUCAGGAGCAUGGCGCUUGGUGACCUAGCUGUAUGCCUUGUGGCAUACAAAGAGUGGAGAUGAUGGAGAAGAGAGCGACUUCCUGGACCUGAAUUGACUCUUUCCAAAAGAAAGUGAUGAGGAAGAAGUUGCAGCACUGAGUGAUCUGUUGGUGGAUAAGGUCCUAGAGAUACCCAAGAACUGCUGUUCGUUCAGCUAGUGGUGCCUCGAAAGGAAGGAGGAGCUGCUUCAGAGGGAAAAGCACAAUUGCUGGAUUUGACACAGGGUUUCGUGCAGAACUUGGACCCCAACCUUUCCAAUGUGGAAGUGGCGCCUGACUCCAUGACAGCUCUUGUGGCACCAGUCAUAGUGCAGCAUCUGGUGGCCAAUGUCUCAGUUUCCAUUGCAGCAAAAAUAGAAACCACCUAAUAUUUUGAUGCUGCAGUGGAAGUUCAGACUGAGGUCAUGAGAUCAGUGCCUGUUGCCAUGCAUGUCCAGCUUGCUACCAUGCUCUUCCAUUAUUUUUCAACCUACCAGAUAGAUGCAUCACAGGUUUUGUAGUUAGCUUGGAAUGCCAUUUAAAUGCAGUCAAUUAUCUUUCUCAAUAGAAAUAUUCUAUUAAUUGUUGGUAUCAUAGCUGUGGAUGCCUGUGGUCAACAGGACAUGCAGGCUCCUAGAGCAAUCCAGCAAUCAGUCCUGCAAUUGAUGACUAGGAUUGCUGAGACACUGCAGCAGGGGAGUGGCAGUUGCUCCAUGGUGCACAAACCUACAGUCCUUUCUCAAGGUGACAGCCUUCAUCCUCCCAGUGGCAGUCUGCCAGUGCCCUUGCUGCUCCCUUUCAGCCAGCCAGUUAAGACUGCUGUUGCCCAUGUCAAGGUGGUAUAGUCCAACAGGUCUGGAAGACCCAGAGCUGCUUGAGGUCAUCCUGCAAGGCCAUCUGCAGUCUCUCUCACUAAAGGUCAGCAGCCUUCCACCAGUCAUGCCACCACCACUGGUGUAGUACUGCCUAGGAGCACUGGACCAGGCAAAGGUAUAUGCAAGAUAGGCGCUAAGAGAAUGCACAAGGCUGAACAGAUCAGUUUAGCAUGUAUAUUAGGAGCGUUGUUUGAUAAAAUUGUUAUGGAAUAAUU